RNAcentral lists this ribosomal RNA (693 nucleotides) under uncultured delta proteobacterium. Its description in RNAcentral is "bacterial SSU rRNA". It matches the Rfam family "Bacterial small subunit ribosomal RNA", at positions 140 to 811 of the family's 1533-position model. The record is from RNAcentral. Lineage: Bacteria; Deltaproteobacteria.
GGAAUAACCUGGGGAAACUCGGGCUAAUGCCGCAUACGUUGGAUGGACCGAGGUCCGUUCAGGAAAGCUGGCCUCUGCUUGCAAGCUGGCGCGCCUGGAGGAGCCCGCGGCUGAUUAGCUGGUUGGUGGGGUAAUGGCCCACCAAGGCGACGAUCAGUAGCCGGCCUGAGAGGGUGAUCGGCCACACUGGGACUGAGACACGGCCCAGACUCCUACGGGAGGCAGCAGUGAGGAAUUUUGCGCAAUGGGGGAAACCCUGACGCAGCAACGCCGCGUGAGUGAUGAAGGCCUUCGGGUCGUAAAGCUCUGUCAAGUGGGAAGAACCCGCAUAUGGCCAAUACCUAUAUGCGCUGACGGUACCACUGAAGGAAGCACCGGCUAACUCCGUGCCAGCAGCCGCGGUAAUACGGGGGGUGCAAGCGUUACUCGGAAUCAUUGGGCGUAAAGGGCGCGCAGGCGGCCAGGUAAGUCAGAUGUGAAAUCCCGGGGCUUAACCCCGGAAGUGCAUUUGAUACUACUUGGCUUGAGUAUGGGAGAGGGGAGUGGAAUUCCUGGUGUAGAGGUGAAAUUCGUAGAUAUCAGGAGGAACACCGGUGGCGAAGGCGACUUCCUGGACCAAUACUGACGCUGAGGUGCGAAGGCGUGGGUAGCAAACAGGAUUAGAUACCCUGGUAGUCCACGCAGUAAACGUUG